Molecule: long non-coding RNA, 542 nt
Filed under: Olea europaea subsp. europaea
Lineage: Eukaryota; Viridiplantae; Streptophyta; Magnoliopsida; Lamiales; Oleaceae
Source: RNAcentral
AGUGAAUGGAGUUGCACCAAGUACAGGAACUCCCCCAAAUCCUCGUCAGAAUUUCUAAACCCUAAAAUCUCAUCUUUCGAAAUUUGAGGUUUUGAUUUUCUCAAAUUUUAAUUCCUUCAAAAUAUAACAAGUAUAUUUGUGGGUAUAUAUGUAUACACACUUUGAUGUAUAUAAAUUUUUUAAUUUUUUAGGUACAGAUCAUUAGGAAUCAAAAUCUAAGAGAUAGACAUUGAGUAAAAUCAAGUGGAGCUCAUAGAUUACUUUGUGAGGCACAUGUUGAAUCUCACGGGUUUCGCCGUCAGAAAUUUCGUUGUUGAGGCCACUUUCCACCCAUCUCUUUUUCCUUUCGUUGAGAUCAUCUGGGUUCCUAACCUUCUUUAAGUUGUAUUUCAUUUAUGUCCUUGUAGAGAUAACUUUUAGUUUUGACUCUUUUUUUCUUUUUUUUGGGUAGAGAAAGAUCCAAUUAGACGUAUUCUUCCCAUUGAUUUUGGUUGGAUAUAUUCAAAGCCUUAAAUAAGCGAGUUCUUGUUCUUUAUCAUUUG